UACGAAGGGGGCUAGCGUUGCUCGGAAUCACUGGGCGUAAAGGGUGCGUAGGCGGGUCUUGAAGUCAGGGGUGAAAUCCUGGAGCUCAACUCCAGAACUGCCUUUGAUACUGAAGAUCUUGAGUUCGGGAGAGGUGAGUGGAACUGCGAGUGUAGAGGUGAAAUUCGUAGAUAUUCGCAAGAACACCAGUGGCGAAGGCGGCUCACUGGCCCGAUACUGACGCUGAGGCACGAAAGCGUGGGGAGCAAACAGG
Molecule: ribosomal RNA, 253 nt
Filed under: uncultured bacterium
Lineage: Bacteria
Description: partial 16S ribosomal RNA
Rfam family: Bacterial small subunit ribosomal RNA
Source: RNAcentral